GUGCUCGCUUCGGCAGCACAUAUACUAAAAUUGGAACGAUACAGAGAAGAUUAGCAUGGCCCCUGCACAAGGAUGACACCAUAUACAGGGGGAGGAGGUCCCCCUCAGU
Acomys russatus (golden spiny mouse) is the source of this 109-nucleotide small nuclear RNA. Lineage: Eukaryota; Metazoa; Chordata; Mammalia; Rodentia; Muridae. The record is from RefSeq and is a predicted model, not a curated record.